RNAcentral lists this ribosomal RNA (862 nucleotides) under uncultured bacterium. RNAcentral's name for it is "bacterial SSU rRNA". It matches the Rfam family "Bacterial small subunit ribosomal RNA", at positions 53 to 878 of the family's 1533-position model. The record is from RNAcentral.
ACAUGCAAGUCGAACGGAAGUCGUUGUAAUGAAAUGGAAAUGGACAGAGAACUUGUUCGAAGAAAGUUGAAGUAGACUUACAACAAUGGCUUUAGUGGCGGACUGGUGAGUAACGCGUAAGGAACCUGCCUUUUAGAGGGGAAUAACAAUGAGAAAUCAUUGCUAAUACCGCAUAUGCCGAGAGAAUCACAUGGUACAAUCGGGAAAGGAGCAAUCCGCUAAAAGAUGGCCUUGCGUCUGAUUAGAUAGUUGGUGGGGUAACGGCCUACCAAGUCGACGAUCAGUAGCCGGACUGAGAGGUUGAACGGCCACAUUGGGACUGAGAUACGGCCCAGACUCCUACGGGAGGCAGCAGUCGGGAAUAUUGCGCAAUGGAGGAAACUCUGACGCAGUGACGCCGCGUAUAGGAAGAAGGUUUUCGGAUUGUAAACUAUUGUCGUUAGGGAAGAGAAAGGACAGUACCUAAGGAGGAAGCUCCGGCUAACUACGUGCCAGCAGCCGCGGUAAUACGUAGGGAGCGAGCGUUAUCCGGAAUUAUUGGGUGUAAAGGGUGCGUAGACGGGAAGAUAAGUUAGUUGUGAAAUCCCUCGGCUUAACUGAGGAACUGCAACUAAAACUGUUUUUCUUGAGUGCAGGAGAGGUAAGUGGAAUUCCUAGUGUAGCGGUGAAAUGCGUAGAUAUUAGGAGGAACACCAGUGGCGAAGGCGACUUACUGGACUGUAACUGACGUUGAGGCACGAAAGUGUGGGGAGCAAACAGGAUUAGAUACCCUGGUAGUCCACACCGUAAACGAUGGAUACUAGGUGUAGGAGAUAUUAAGUCUUCUGUGCCGUCGCAAACGCAAUAAGUAUCCCACCUGGGG